UCAUCCACUUAGAGGCAAGAUGUUCUUCCUUAAGUGCAACUGAAAUCUCUCCUGCUUUAAUUGAAGUCUGUUUCCCCAUGUUCAGUCUACAGUGGACAGAGAGAAAUUGAUCAGCAUCCCUCCUAUAAAACCCCAUCUAUUGAUGUCUAAGGAGGAAGUGGGGAGGAGCAGACCUCUAGAGACACCACCCGGGAGACCCAUCACACCGAAACCCUGACACUAGAAGGACCGCAGUGACUUGGCACCUUAGAAAUGUCCCUAUCCUGCUGGAAAGAGUGCCAUCAGUGACCACCCUUGAGAUGGAGUGGAAUCCCGAAGAGUGUGACCAUCUGGCCUAAAGAAGAAUUUCUGAAUUCUUGUUGAUGUUCAAGAUGAAGGACUCUAUAGAGACAACUUCUUGUUGCUGAAAGAAACCACACAGGUAUCAAAAAAACUAACUUCACC
Ornithorhynchus anatinus (platypus) is the source of this 444-nucleotide long non-coding RNA. RefSeq lists it as uncharacterized. The record is from RefSeq and is a predicted model, not a curated record. Lineage: Eukaryota; Metazoa; Chordata; Mammalia; Monotremata; Ornithorhynchidae. The transcript is spliced from 4 exons.